GGGGUUGUGGCUCAGUGGUAGAGCACUCGCCUAGCAUGUGUGAGGCACUGGGUUCAAUUCUCAGCACCA
This 69-nucleotide transfer RNA is filed under the name Urocitellus parryii (Arctic ground squirrel). RNAcentral's name for it is "Spermophilus parryii (Arctic ground squirrel) tRNA". It matches the Rfam family "tRNA". From Rfam's summary of the family: Transfer RNA (tRNA) molecules are approximately 80 nucleotides in length. Lineage: Eukaryota; Metazoa; Chordata; Mammalia; Rodentia; Sciuridae. The record is from Rfam by way of RNAcentral. RNAcentral also lists the same sequence under 2 other names.